RNAcentral lists this ribosomal RNA (451 nucleotides) under uncultured bacterium. Its description in RNAcentral is "partial 16S ribosomal RNA". It matches the Rfam family "Bacterial small subunit ribosomal RNA", at positions 29 to 523 of the family's 1533-position model. The record is from RNAcentral.
AGCGAACGCUGGCGGCAGGCUUAACACAUGCAAGUCGAACGGGCGUAGCAAUACGUCAGUGGCAGACGGGUGAGUAACACGUGGGAACGUACCUUUUGGUUCGGAACAACUGAGGGAAACUCCAGCUAAUACCGGAUAAGCCCUUACGGGGAAAGAUUUAUCGCCGAAAGAUCGGCCCGCGUCUGAUUAGCUAGUUGGUGGGGUAAGAGCCCACCAAGGCGACGAACAGUAGCUGGUCUGAGAGGAUGAUCAGCCACAUUGGGCCUGAGACACGGCCCAAACUCCUACGGGAGGCAGCAGUGGGGAAUAUUGGACAAUGGGCGAAAGCCUGAUCCAGCCAUGCCGCGUGAGUGAUGAAGGCCCUAGGGUUGUAAAGCUCUUUUAACGGGGAAGAUAAUGACGGUACCCGUAGAAUAAGCCCCGGCUAACUUCGUGCCAGCAGCCGCCGUAA